AUGGUGCGGGGACCUGCCGACGGUGGCGCGGCGCACGGGCCGGCGCUGGUGCGCGUGCAGGUGCCGGCGCGGUGGAGCGACUGGAGGUAGUGCCCGCCGUGGCACGCCAACUCGCUGGAGAACGUCGUGCCGGAGAACCUGCCCCGGCCGUCCGCGCGGCGGAGAUACCGCGGCGUAGGGGCCGUCGACAAGGUGUAUGCUCCAGCGCCCGCGGCGUCGCGCGACGCCGUGCUCCCGUUCGUGGUGCUCCACUCCGGCUCUGGCAUGGCCUGCUUCUCCCUCUAA
This 285-nucleotide ribosomal RNA is filed under the name Triticum aestivum (bread wheat). RNAcentral describes it as "partial small subunit ribosomal RNA". The record is from RNAcentral. Lineage: Eukaryota; Viridiplantae; Streptophyta; Magnoliopsida; Poales; Poaceae.